Molecule: non-coding RNA, 31 nt
Filed under: Mus musculus (house mouse)
Lineage: Eukaryota; Metazoa; Chordata; Mammalia; Rodentia; Muridae
Source: RNAcentral
UGAAAAAAUUAUGUGAAACUUUGUGCAGACU